Molecule: ribosomal RNA, 2900 nt
Filed under: Klebsiella pneumoniae
Lineage: Bacteria; Pseudomonadati; Pseudomonadota; Gammaproteobacteria; Enterobacterales; Enterobacteriaceae
Description: bacterial LSU rRNA
Rfam family: Bacterial large subunit ribosomal RNA
Source: RNAcentral
UUAAGCGACUAAGCGUACACGGUGGAUGCCCUGGCAGUCAGAGGCGAUGAAGGACGUGCUAAUCUGCGAAAAGCGUCGGUAAGGUGAUAUGAACCGUUAUAACCGGCGAUGUCCGAAUGGGGAAACCCAGUGCAAUUCGUUGCACUAUCGUUAACUGAAUACAUAGGUUAACGAGGCGAACCGGGGGAACUGAAACAUCUAAGUACCCCGAGGAAAAGAAAUCAACCGAGAUUCCCCCAGUAGCGGCGAGCGAACGGGGAGCAGCCCAGAGUCUGAAUCAGCUUGUGUGUUAGUGGAACGGUCUGGAAAGUCCGACGGUACAGGGUGAUAGUCCCGUACACCAAAAUGCACAGGCUGUGAACUCGAAGAGUAGGGCGGGACACGUGGUAUCCUGUCUGAAUAUGGGGGGACCAUCCUCCAAGGCUAAAUACUCCUGACUGACCGAUAGUGAACCAGUACCGUGAGGGAAAGGCGAAAAGAACCCCGGCGAGGGGAGUGAAAAAGAACCUGAAACCGUGUACGUACAAGCAGUGGGAGCACCUUCGGGUGUGACUGCGUACCUUUUGUAUAAUGGGUCAGCGACUUAUAUUCUGUAGCAAGGUUAACCGUAUAGGGGAGCCGCAGGGAAACCGAGUCUUAACUGGGCGUUAAGUUGCAGGGUAUAGACCCGAAACCCGGUGAUCUAGCCAUGGGCAGGUUGAAGGUUGGGUAACACUAACUGGAGGACCGAACCGACUAAUGUUGAAAAAUUAGCGGAUGACUUGUGGCUGGGGGUGAAAGGCCAAUCAAACCGGGAGAUAGCUGGUUCUCCCCGAAAGCUAUUUAGGUAGCGCCUCGUGAAUUCAUCUUCGGGGGUAGAGCACUGUUUCGGCUAGGGGGUCAUCCCGACUUACCAACCCGAUGCAAACUACGAAUACCGAAGAAUGUUAUCACGGGAGACACACGGCGGGUGCUAACGUCCGUCGUGAAGAGGGAAACAACCCAGACCGCCAGCUAAGGUCCCAAAGUCAUGGUUAAGUGGGAAACGAUGUGGGAAGGCACAGACAGCCAGGAUGUUGGCUUAGAAGCAGCCAUCAUUUAAAGAAAGCGUAAUAGCUCACUGGUCGAGUCGGCCUGCGCGGAAGAUGUAACGGGGCUAAACCAUGCACCGAAGCUGCGGCAGCGACACUAUGUGUUGUUGGGUAGGGGAGCGUUCUGUAAGCCUGCGAAGGUGACCUGUGAGGGUUGCUGGAGGUAUCAGAAGUGCGAAUGCUGACAUAAGUAACGAUAAAGCGGGUGAAAAGCCCGCUCGCCGGAAGACCAAGGGUUCCUGUCCAACGUUAAUCGGGGCAGGGUGAGUCGACCCCUAAGGCGAGGCCGAAAGGCGUAGUCGAUGGGAAACAGGUUAAUAUUCCUGUACUUGGUGUUACUGCGAAGGGGGGACGGAGAAGGCUAUGUUAGCCGGGCGACGGUUGUCCCGGUUUAAGCAUGUAGGCUGGUUAUCCAGGCAAAUCCGGAUAAUCAAGGCUGAGGUGUGAUGACGAGGCACUACGGUGCUGAAGUAACAAAUGCCCUGCUUCCAGGAAAAGCCUCUAAGCAUCAGGUAACAUUAAAUCGUACCCCAAACCGACACAGGUGGUCAGGUAGAGAAUACCAAGGCGCUUGAGAGAACUCGGGUGAAGGAACUAGGCAAAAUGGUGCCGUAACUUCGGGAGAAGGCACGCUGGUGUGUAGGUGAAGUCCCUGCGGAUGGAGCUGAGACCAGUCGAAGAUACCAGCUGGCUGCAACUGUUUAUUAAAAACACAGCACUGUGCAAACACGAAAGUGGACGUAUACGGUGUGACGCCUGCCCGGUGCCGGAAGGUUAAUUGAUGGGGUUAUCCGUAAGGAGAAGCUCUUGAUCGAAGCCCCGGUAAACGGCGGCCGUAACUAUAACGGUCCUAAGGUAGCGAAAUUCCUUGUCGGGUAAGUUCCGACCUGCACGAAUGGCGUAAUGAUGGCCAGGCUGUCUCCACCCGAGACUCAGUGAAAUUGAACUCGCUGUGAAGAUGCAGUGUACCCGCGGCAAGACGGAAAGACCCCGUGAACCUUUACUAUAGCUUGACACUGAACAUUGAGCCUUGAUGUGUAGGAUAGGUGGGAGGCUUUGAAGCGUGGACGCCAGUCUGCGUGGAGCCAACCUUGAAAUACCACCCUUUAAUGUUUGAUGUUCUAACGUUGGCCCCUGACCGGGGUUGCGGACAGUGUCUGGUGGGUAGUUUGACUGGGGCGGUCUCCUCCCAAAGCGUAACGGAGGAGCACGAAGGUUAGCUAAUCCUGGUCGGACAUCAGGAGGUUAGUGCAAUGGCAUAAGCUAGCUUGACUGCGAGCGUGACGGCGCGAGCAGGUGCGAAAGCAGGUCAUAGUGAUCCGGUGGUUCUGAAUGGAAGGGCCAUCGCUCAACGGAUAAAAGGUACUCCGGGGAUAACAGGCUGAUACCGCCCAAGAGUUCAUAUCGACGGCGGUGUUUGGCACCUCGAUGUCGGCUCAUCACAUCCUGGGGCUGAAGUAGGUCCCAAGGGUAUGGCUGUUCGCCAUUUAAAGUGGUACGCGAGCUGGGUUUAGAACGUCGUGAGACAGUUCGGUCCCUAUCUGCCGUGGGCGCUGGAGAAUUGAGGGGGGCUGCUCCUAGUACGAGAGGACCGGAGUGGACGCAUCACUGGUGUUCGGGUUGUCAUGCCAAUGGCACUGCCCGGUAGCUAAAUGCGGAAGAGAUAAGUGCUGAAAGCAUCUAAGCACGAAACUUGCCCCGAGAUGAGUUCUCCCUGAGACUUUAAGUCUCCUGAAGGAACGUUGAAGACGACGACGUUGAUAGGCCGGGUGUGUAAGCGCAGCGAUGCGUUGAGCUAACCGGUACUAAUGAACCGUGAGGCUUAACCUU